RNAcentral lists this ribosomal RNA (254 nucleotides) under uncultured bacterium. RNAcentral's name for it is "partial 16S ribosomal RNA". It matches the Rfam family "Bacterial small subunit ribosomal RNA", at positions 524 to 776 of the family's 1533-position model. The record is from RNAcentral.
UACGGGGGGAGCAAGCGUUGUUCGGAUUUACUGGGCGUAAAGGGCGCGUAGGCGGCCACCGCAAGUCGACUGUGAAAUCUCCGGGCUUAACCCGGAAAGGUCAGCCGAUACUGCGGGGCUAGAGUGCAGAAGGGGCAACUGGAAUUCCCGGUGUAGCGGUGAAAUGUGUAGAGAUCGGGAGGAACACCGGUGGCGAAGGCGGGUCUCUGGGCAAUUCCUGACGCUGAGGCGCGAAAGCGUGGGGAGCAAACGGG